This is a non-coding RNA of Pelobates cultripes (western spadefoot toad), 281 nucleotides long. NCBI's taxonomy places the organism in Eukaryota, Metazoa, Chordata, Amphibia, Anura, Pelobatidae. The record is from the annotation of a GenBank genome assembly.
AGGGAUUUGGGUCGAAAAUAUGGACGGUCCGUCCUAAAUAGGGACACGUGGGAUGAAUGUUGACAUGUAAAUUAUUUUCAAAUUAUGAAAAAUGCAUUAAUUAUAUUUUGAUAUUUGAAAUGCAAAAUCUAAACUUCAACAUGCUUUUCUACCUCAUAAUUCUUUUCAAAUACAUUUGGUCUGUUUUUCUCUCUCACACUCCAGUUGUUGCAGACUACAUGUCCCUUGAUGCUUUAAAGGACCACUCUAGGCACCCAGACCACUUCAGCUUAAUGAAGUGG